CAGACAUUGUUUAGUGUGCUCGGGGACAUUUCUAACAGCAGCUGUGGUUAUGAACAAUUUUGGGAAGCUACUACAGCAACUCAACUGAACGUAAAGGGCGCUAAUGGCUCUCAGUCCUCCGAAUGUCAGCCCCACUGGUUUUCAAGGGCACCGUACUGAUGGGGAUUUGGUUAACGGGAGGGGAGGGGGCCUUCGGUGCGGCUCAUGACGUCACCGUGUCCCGACGUAAUCCUCUCGCGCUAGAGUCCUAUCAGCAGAGGAGGGCGAGCGCGCGGGGACGCGAGGAAGCACUAAUCUCUCCAGAAUGGAUCAGCGUAACCGAGACGCAAACGAGGCCAUUUAACACUACAGCAGAAGAUGAUUACGAUUAAAAACGGGAUACAAUCGGUGUGUUUCGGCGGUAAACGACAGGCGUGAUCUCAUUGCUCGCUGCGGGAUGCAGGAGGGAUACGACGGCAGCUCAAAAGAUGCUCGACGGAGAAAAUAAAGCAUCGUGUUUACGGGGGACUUUAGUGGUGUUUCAGUCAAUUUGCUUUGGCGGUGAUAUUAUUUUGAAUAAGGUUGGUCGACAGCUUUUUGUAAAAUAGUUGAUCGUGUAUUCUGAGAAAGUGUUUUGUUUACACUUGAUGUAGUCUGAGGGAUGCACUACUGCAGAGGUCAGCAAAAUGAGUGAGAAUCAUAACAAUGCGCGCCCUUCGGAGGGAUACCUUCUUCAUUGCUUCCGUUCUAUCGCCCGCAAUGCAAUUCCUUGAUCUAUACGAUACCGAUUUAUUCAUGAUAUGCUAUAUUUGGCCAUUGACAUUCUUUUUGAAUUCCUAAUCGUACUGCCACUGAGGCACACAAAUCCCAGAGACCCAAAAGAAGGAGGACAAUAGCUGUGGCUGCUUGCAUUGAGGCUGCAGAAUCAUAUAAAGAGCAGCUCUUAAAGGGAGUGAAUAUAGGCCACUGGUUGGCCUGCUCUGCGCAAUAUAUGCGUUGGUAUUUGACUGUCUUUAACGCGAAACUGAAAUAGGAAACAAUGUACAAACACUAUUGUGAUUGUAAUUUUGACGUUUUGUCGUCGGCGUGUUGUCAAAACGCAUUACGACAUCCCUCUUUGCGGUACUCUUUGAAGAGCAGCCUGCUCUGGCGUGCGCGCGUCAUGGAGGGUGGUGACACGGGCCCGCCACUCUGCGUGUUCACGGCGGACCUUGAUUUAAUAUCCAUACAAUUAAGGCACGCGGUGAAUGCCAAGAGAGGGGCCUUACAACGGCGAACCUGUAUCGUUAAGGAAAAUGAGCAGCAGAGAUGCGCAGAUCCGGAGUGAAGGCUAGUAAAGCCAAAGAGCUGAACAGGAACUGAGGCCGCUUGGUUUGCAGGCGCAUGAUAGGAAUAUUAAUUUCGGGAGCUGACAGGAAUGUGAAAUUCCUCUUCUAAUUAGUCUAUUUCUACUGUUAUAUGAGGUCAUUUUCAUAUAGCCUAUUAAUAAUAAUAAAAUAGAUUUAAGACUAUUUAGUAGAUGCUUAAAUUCCAUAAUUUUAUCAAGCCAUGGAGUGUAAACAACAAAGAAUAUUAUAGGGAUUUGGUAAAAUAGUCACUACACUGCUUGAAGAAACCUUGAGCAAAUAUUUAAAAUGUUAGACAUGAAUGUUUUUUGUGUCCAAAUGAAAUCUGGUUUCCAUUGCAAAACUGAAGACGCAGAAAAACCGAAGACAGAAGGUGAACAGUAUAUCCUGAAAAGAAUGGCUGAUCAAACAUUACCUACAUUAUCAUGUUCUGUGAUCACCAUUUGGUCUUGUAUUGGUAAUCGUUUAAAAACAAUUGGCAAUUGUCUUUGAUUUCUAAUGUGUAUUGAGUGUAUACUUGUAUAAAUACUGCAUUCAACUGAAAUAUAUGGAUUUGUUUAGAAAAAAAUAAAAUACGUCAGGAGGACAUUAUUGUAUACAAUACAUAAGACUUACUGUUUUCAAAUAUCAAAACUGUCCAAUCUUUUAAUCCGCACAGAGCAUCCUCUGCCAAGACCUGUCACUUCUUUCCACACUUUCUUUGUUUACCUGUCAAUAAACCCUCAUUUCAUGCAAAUCUGUUGCCUGCCUAGAAAUCUUGCUUCAUGUUUUUAUUUUUGGCCAGAACUCUGCUUCUGUUAUCUAGAUGAGUAGAACAAGAUGGCAGCCAAUCAGUACAGAUGGCCGUGUACGCAGUUAUCUAGAUUCAACUCUCAUACAAGAGCGAUAGCAUUAUAUUAUGAGUUGUUUCAGUAAUAGAUUCAACACCUAUUUCAAUAUUUUUACAUGACCUCUAGGAAAUCAUACU
Long non-coding RNA from Cyprinus carpio carpio, 2292 nucleotides. NCBI's taxonomy places the organism in Eukaryota, Metazoa, Chordata, Actinopteri, Cypriniformes, Cyprinidae. The record is from Ensembl.